GACGAACGCUGGCGGCGUGCUUAACACAUGCAAGUCGUACGGUAAGGUCCUUUCGGGGGUCCUCGGGUGGCAGACGGGGGAGUAACACGUACAUAACGUGCCCACAACUUUGGGAUAAGGCUAGGAAAGUGAAGCUAAUACUAGAAAUGGGCUACUGCUUCAUGGGGGGGGUUGGAAAGCUCCGGCGGGUGUUGCUGGACUCGCGGCCUAUCUGCUUGUUGGGGGGGUAGUGGGCUACCAAGGCGGCGACGGGUAGCCGGCCUGAGUGGGUGACCGGCGACAUUGGGACUGAGAGACGGCCCAGGCUCCGACGGGAGGCAGCAGGGGGGAAGAUUGAACGAGGGGCGCAAGCCUGAUGCAGCAGCGCUGCGGGCGGGAUGACGGUGUUAGGGUUGAAAACCGAAUUCAGCAGGGACGAAGCUUUUUGUGACGGUACCUGCAGAAGAAGCACCGGCUAACUACGUG
RNAcentral lists this ribosomal RNA (465 nucleotides) under uncultured bacterium. Its description in RNAcentral is "partial 16S ribosomal RNA". It matches the Rfam family "Bacterial small subunit ribosomal RNA", at positions 28 to 507 of the family's 1533-position model. The record is from RNAcentral.